This 2303-nucleotide long non-coding RNA is filed under the name Nicotiana tabacum (common tobacco). RNAcentral's name for it is "long non-coding RNA (NTAB_LNC005634)". Lineage: Eukaryota; Viridiplantae; Streptophyta; Magnoliopsida; Solanales; Solanaceae. The record is from RNAcentral.
ACGAAGAUACCAAUACAUGCCCAAUAAAACAUCGAAGUCUACCAUACAUAACAAAAACAGAUCCACUCGAGUCUCCAGACCCCCAAUAGUCACCACAUAUGACCGGUACAUGCGAUCUACAACAACAGUAUCGCCCACCGGAGUAGAUACACGAACAGAUGAAACGAGAGACUCACAGGGUAUAUCUAAAUAACGAGCAAAGUAUUAUGACACAUAAGAAUAAGUGGAACCGGGAUCAAAUAAUACAGAGGCAUCUCUGUGGCAGUCUGAGAUAAUACCUGUGAUCACGGAGUCUGAAGCAAUAGCAUCGGGUAUGUCAUACCUCCUUUUUCCUACAACCUCGUAAGGGAGUAUAAAGGGAGUUUUUUCAACUUAAAGUGAAAAUCGAAACGAGAUUAUUUAUUUAUUAAACUCAGAGUCGCCACUUGGGAUAAAUUAUGGUGUCCCAAGUCACCGGUUCAAAUCCCAAAUCGAGGAAAAGAUUGAUUCUGUAUUACAGUAUGCGAACAUAGAAAUCGGGGUAAGGAAUUCUGUUAACUCGGGAGAAGGUGUUAGGCAUUCCCGAGUUUCGUGGUUCUAGCACGGUUGCUCAACUGUUAUAAUUUGCCUAUUAUCUGAUUUUAAUACAUGUUUUAGCCUAUGGUGCCAUUUUAACUUAUUAACCGCUCUUAUUCAUUUUUAGGAAGAUUGUAACGUCAUUUAAAAUAUGUCUUGAACCACGUCACAUAAAUGCACCCGCAGUCCGCAACACAUUUUAUAUAACAUUGUCGAGAUUUGGAUUUGGGUCACAUAAAUGCGCACCCGAGUUUAGGAAGGUAAAUUAUUAAAUAGCGCGUCUAAAGAAACUACGAUGCAUUCAUUUCCUAUACUAAUCUAUUAUGGAGGUCAUGAUUUAAGGAUUGAACUACAGUACGCCCGCUAUUUUACAUUGUAACAAGACUAAGAAAUUUCAACACUUUUAUCUAUUUUUUUAAUCCUUAAGCAAAUGAUGUUGUAUCUACUAUCUACUAUAUUUACAUCCUCAUUUCACACCAAAAAGCUAAAAGACAAAUAUAUAUAUAUGUAUUAUAAAAUAUGUUGUUCCCUACUUUGCUGUCAAAGCAUAAGUUCCAUUUUUUCCAUAUAAUCCAUCUUAUAUUAUCUCAAAUAAAUAGCAACAACAAUAAGUGAAACAAAAUAUAAGAAUGGAAAUAAAAUUAAUUUUAAGGUGAAAUAUAGGUAAACAAAAAGAUCACAUAUAAGACAAAUCACAAACAUUAUUAAUAAAUCAUUUUAAAAGAGAGGACAGAAACAUUCGCAUUUUUGGAUUCAUGAUUUUUGACGCCAAAGUUUAUAAAUUCAAGCUAACCUUACCUGCCAAAUCAUUUUUCAUUAAUCUCACGCCUAAUUUUCAACCCCUGUCAGUGGAUACCAUUCCAAUUCUCUUUAACAAAAUUUAAAUUGCUUUGUCACAUUUAACAAGUAAAUAGUAGCAUAGUUUCAUGUAGUCACUAAACACAAUAUAGGCAUGAAAGGCAAUAACAAUGAAGAUAGACCGAACAAAACAUAAACAUGAAGAAUGGAUUAUCUACUAACUCAAACCACAAACAAGGUAAGGCAACAGAGGAUUCAUGACAAUAAAUUAGAAUGAAAGUAGAGAAGGAACAGAAAUGACAGACCUUUUAUAUACAUGGAAAUUUAUUGACUACAAAGAUGUGAGCUCGACGUGAGAAUUCAAACAAAACCGAACCAGGCACGGAGAACUCGCCGACGACCUCGAACAAGGAUCUGGACAAAAAUUAUAGCGACUCGACUAGAUUUGGACAGCUAUUUCGAGUGUAAAGGAAUCGGUUCGAUGGAUGUUUGCGGCUGGUUUUGGACGGCAUUUCAUUGGAUAUCUGGUGCUAAUUUUGGGACAGUUCUUUUGGGAUUUUUGGACUGUUUUUUCAGCAAUUUCGCAGCUGGUUUGGCUCCUCUUUAGAGCUCUUUUGCGGACAGUUUUUGAGGCUAGUUUGGGUGACGUUUUUGGGGUUGAAUUUCAGCUUGGUUUAGGGCUCUUUUCGUGGUGGUUUCGGGUGUUUCAGGGGUGUUUGAGCUGAAGUUUUUGAGGUUGAAAAGCUAUGGAUGAAGCUAGUUUUUGGGUGAAGCAACAACGGGUUUCAGCUACGUUUUCUUUUGGAUGCUUUUGGCUGCUUCUUAUUACUGAUUUUAGAGGGUCCUGUGGUUACUUUUGUCAUGAGAAGGGAUGGCCUUAUAUGGCUAUGAAAAUUUGAUGGAAAAAGAGAAUGAAGUUUCCACCAGGAAGAAGAAGCAAAGAAUGGCGG